AACCAUUUUCAAACCGGCUAAGUUAGCUUCGUAUUCGGCUUGAUUAUUUGAAGCUUUGAAGUCAACCCAAAAGGUGUACUCGGUGACUACCCCUUCUGAGUUGGUGAGAAUGAGGCCAGCUCCACUGCCUUGAGCAUUCGAUGCCCCGUCGAUAUGCAGCACCCAGGUCGAUCUUAGGUCGGGCUCGAGGGUUGCAGCCUCCUUCGUAGUUGCAUCUUUCGACUUGUUGUCGGUUAUUGUAUAUUCUGUGAUGA
RNAcentral lists this long non-coding RNA (254 nucleotides) under Elaeis guineensis (African oil palm). Its description in RNAcentral is "long non-coding RNA (EGUI_LNC009197)". The record is from RNAcentral. Lineage: Eukaryota; Viridiplantae; Streptophyta; Magnoliopsida; Arecales; Arecaceae.